GGGCCUGUAGCUCAAUGGUUAGAGCCGGCCGCUCAUAACGGUCUGGUUGGGGGUUCGAGUCCCUCCGGGCCCA
This is a non-coding RNA of Nitrobacter sp. 62-23, 73 nucleotides long. The record is from Rfam. Lineage: Bacteria; Pseudomonadati; Pseudomonadota; Alphaproteobacteria; Hyphomicrobiales; Nitrobacteraceae.